GACGAACGCUGGCGGCGUGCUUAACACAUGCAAGUCGAACGGAAAGGCCCUGCUUUUGUGGGGUGCUCGAGUGGCGAACGGGUGAGUAACACGUGAGUAACCUGCCCUUGACUUUGGGAUAACUUCAGGAAACUGGGGCUAAUACCGGAUAGGAGCUCCUGCUGCAUGGUGGGGGUUGGAAAGUUUCGGCGGUUGGGGAUGGACUCGCGGCUCAUCAGCUUGUUGGUGGGGUAGUGGCUUACCAAGGCUUUGACGGGUAGCUGGCCUGAGAGGGUGACCGGCCACAUUGGGACUGGGAUACGGCCCAGAGUCCUACGGGAGGCAGCAGUGGGGAAUAUUGCACAAUAGGCGGAAGCCUGAUGCAGCAUCGCCGCGUGCGGGAUGACGGCCUUCGGUUUGUAAACCGCUUUCGCCUGUGACGAAGCGUGAGUGACGGUAAUGGGUAAAGAAGCACCGGCUAACUACGUG
RNAcentral lists this ribosomal RNA (468 nucleotides) under uncultured bacterium. Its description in RNAcentral is "partial 16S ribosomal RNA". It matches the Rfam family "Bacterial small subunit ribosomal RNA", at positions 28 to 507 of the family's 1533-position model. The record is from RNAcentral.